ACCGGGUGCUGUGGUGCGUGCCUGUAAUUCCAACAACUUGGCUGAGGCAGGAGGAUCACAAGUUCAAGGCCAGCCUCAGCAACAUAGUGAGACCCUGUCUCAA
Molecule: small RNA, 103 nt
Filed under: Marmota monax (woodchuck)
Lineage: Eukaryota; Metazoa; Chordata; Mammalia; Rodentia; Sciuridae
Source: RNAcentral